CUCAGAGUCUGCUCCCCGGAAGCUUAAGUUGUGACUCUCGGUACCAGGAGUGGGUGGGCUCCAGAAAGCAGGCGCUAGGACGGGAUUCUGGAGUCGGACCGCGCUCUGCCGGCUGUGGCCGUGAGGACCCCUUCCCCCUUGGUAAGGGCAGCACCGCCCGCGGCACAAGAAGGAGAGCGAAGACCUGAGGAGAAGACGGUCACUAACAUCCAGCUGAGGUCUGGAAAACAGAGCAGAGGGAUCCCAGCCAUGGUUCCCUGACUGUUCAGCAGGAUGAGCUAUGGGAGUUUCCUUCUCCAAAACACCGGAGAACACACCGGAUGAAGUCGGAAGACUGUCGAGUGGAGACCAGGUCCCAAGAGUCCACUGUACUUUGGCCAGCAGGAUUUGAUGUGACAAUCAGGUUCCAUCAUGUUAACAAGGAAUGUCAAAUACGUGUUUUAGUUGAGAACACAGGCUCAAGACUACAACACAGCCAUGAAAGCUGGAGCGGAACACGGCAGCCGGCCACUGUACAGAGAAAUCUUCAGCAAACCCAGAAGGUUAAAACUUCAACAACAUUGUCUUCUGUUGACUGAAGAGGCAGCUCAAUAACAAUGGUCAUACCAACUUAUACAUGCCAGCAAGGAGGAGGAGAAAACAUA
Molecule: long non-coding RNA, 644 nt
Organism: Balaenoptera ricei (Rice's whale)
Lineage: Eukaryota; Metazoa; Chordata; Mammalia; Artiodactyla; Balaenopteridae
Exons: 4
Source: RefSeq, a predicted model, not a curated record